AAACGACGUGCACUUCAAUUCUAAAAACAACACGUGGGAAAUGCAUCUGAUUAAAAUCGGAACUAUGAGCUUAAAUAGUACCCAUCCUACAUCCCGGUCCAGGAAGACUAACACAACUUCAACUAAAAUAUGAUGGCGGCCGGGAAGAUGCUGAACGAAAUGAUUGCAUGGCGGCGUACAUUUGCUGAAGAUAGUAAGAAUGAUAACGACGGCCCGAAAACUGAUGUAGAUCUCUGUAUUCAUCUCUACAUAUGAAGAAUAUUGCAUGCUUAUGGAGGGAGUCAGUAAGUUAUACGCAUUUGUGCAUACAUGCAUGCAAACACGCAUGUAGACAGUUAUCGAAUUUUUUCCACAUCCUGUAUGAAAUGCUGACGUCAUAACGAUUUUGAAACUUUGAGAAUGUGAAAUAAUUCACUUUGGGGACGUUGAAACGCGAAUCUAAUAAAGCUAUGAAUAAUAAAAUAACA
Molecule: long non-coding RNA, 467 nt
Organism: Octopus bimaculoides (California two-spot octopus)
Lineage: Eukaryota; Metazoa; Mollusca; Cephalopoda; Octopoda; Octopodidae
Source: RefSeq, a predicted model, not a curated record